Molecule: unclassified non-coding RNA, 548 nt
Filed under: Hevea brasiliensis (rubber tree)
Lineage: Eukaryota; Viridiplantae; Streptophyta; Magnoliopsida; Malpighiales; Euphorbiaceae
Source: RNAcentral
UGAUUAGUAUCAUUCAACACUAUUUGCAAAUCAUCUUCACUAUCACUGUCUUCUUCCCAAUCUUCAUCUCCCUCUCCGCUGACUCGACCACCGGCAACGUCAGCAUCACUCUUCCUAGAAUCCUCGGUGUCAACGGUGAGUCCAGGGAUCAUCGGACCUGAAUCUUCAAUAAUUCCAGUAUUUAUCUCCUCGAUAUCAAAAUUGAUCUCUUCAUCCUGCUUAUCGGAUUGAAAAUCAGUACUAUUUGAAGCAUUAUUAGGUAAUUUCGCCUCAGAAGAGCCCAAAACCCUAGGUCUAGUAGCUGAAUUAAUGUCAGUAGGGAUUGAAUUCUCAACAGAAUUUAGUGGGGUUUGAUCGAAGGGAACAGGGGGAUUGCGGCCGGAUACACCAUGGAGGAUUUCGUCACCCUCGAUGUCUUUUCUGUGGUUCUGAAGAACGAGAUCAAUCGGACGUUGAAUCGAUGAAGGUGCGGGAGAGGAAUGUUGAGGCUGCGGAGCAGAAGGUGCAGAUGAGGAGAAGGGUCGCAGCACGUCCGUGUAGAGAUCUCC